RNAcentral lists this ribosomal RNA (468 nucleotides) under uncultured bacterium. RNAcentral's name for it is "partial 16S ribosomal RNA". It matches the Rfam family "Bacterial small subunit ribosomal RNA", at positions 28 to 507 of the family's 1533-position model. The record is from RNAcentral.
GACGAACGCUGGCGGCGUGCUUAACACAUGCAAGUCGAACGGAAAGGCCCUGCUUUUGUGGGGUGCUCGAGUGGCGAACGGGUGAGUAACACGUGAGUAACCUGCCCUUGACUUUGGGAUAACUUCAGGAAACUGGGGCUAAUACCGGAUAGGAGCUCCUGCUGCAUGGUGGGGGUUGGAAAGUUUCGGCGGUUGGGGAUGGACUCGCGGGUUAUCAGCUUGUUGGUGGGGUAGUGGCUUACCAAGGCUUUGACGGGUAGCCGGCCUGAGAGGGUGACCGGCCACAUUGGGACUGAGAUACGGCCCAGACUCCUACGGGAGGCAGCAGUGGGGAAUAUUGCACAAUGGGCGGAAGCCUGAUGCAGCAACGCCGCGUGCGGGAUGACGGCCUUCGGGUUGUAAACCGCCUUCGCCUGUGACGAAGCGUGAGUGACGGUAAUGGGUAAAGAAGCACCGGCUAACUACGUG